RNAcentral lists this microRNA (21 nucleotides) under Capitella teleta. RNAcentral describes it as "Cte-Mir-2-o19_5p* (star (passenger))". The record is from RNAcentral. Lineage: Eukaryota; Metazoa; Annelida; Polychaeta; Capitellidae.
GCUCUGAGUGGCUGUGAUAUG